Ochotona princeps (American pika) is the source of this 569-nucleotide RNA transcript. RefSeq lists it as uncharacterized. The transcript is spliced from 4 exons. The record is from RefSeq and is a predicted model, not a curated record. Lineage: Eukaryota; Metazoa; Chordata; Mammalia; Lagomorpha; Ochotonidae.
GGACUUGAAGAGUGCGAUGAGAAAGCUGAAUCAUGAGCUGUGUGCAGUGCUGAAAUGUCCAGUGGAUUUUUAAACAGAGAAGCCUGCACCAGCAUCAUGAAAAGAGGCUCAGAGAAGAACCUCAAACGUGGAUACCACCAGCAUGUGCAGCCCAACACUCCAGCCUGGUGAAGAGAAAAAAACAGGAUGCAACUUUCCAGGUUUCUUUCAAGCAAUUGGCUUGUGGAACUCUGAGAGAUGCUGCCAGCUAUGAUAUGUUGGAAGGAUCAUGAUCAGCUGUCCAGUUUAGAUUUCACCCAGUGGCCAAGAUCGUUGCAGAGCAGACAGCAAGGGUUGGAUUUUUAAGAAGAGUAAACCAGGUAAGAUUUGGGAGAUAUAUCUGAUCAUGUAUCACUUACUCUAUGAGUUUUAAUGUACAGUCAACAUGUAUUGGACAACAUAUAGCAUAUCUGUUUAUUUCCUAAAUCCAUUGAACAGAUUGUUGAAGAAUUGGGUUCUCCAGGAACCAAGAUCGUGUGUACAGUAACAGUUAAUCCUUUUUCUCAAGAGGAAAGAGAGGCUACCAUAAG